RNAcentral lists this ribosomal RNA (255 nucleotides) under uncultured bacterium. Its description in RNAcentral is "partial 16S ribosomal RNA". It matches the Rfam family "Bacterial small subunit ribosomal RNA", at positions 524 to 776 of the family's 1533-position model. The record is from RNAcentral.
UACGGAGGGUGCAAGCGUUAUCCGGAUUCACUGGGUUUAAAGGGUGCGUAGGUGGCUUUGUAAGUCAGUGGUGAAAUCUUAGAGCUUAACUCUAAAACUGCCAUUGAUACUGCUUAGCUUGAAUCAAGUAGAGGUGGAUGGAAUAAUACAUGUAGCGGUGAAAUGCUUAGAUAUGUAUUAGAACACCGAUUGCGAAGGCAGUUCACUAUGCUUGUAUUGACACUGAGGCACGAAAAGCGUGGGGGAUCAAACAGG